CCUACGGGGGGCUGCAGUGGGGAAUAUUGCACAAUGGAGGGAACUCUGAUGCAGCGACGCCGCGUGAGUGAAGAAGGUCUUCGGAUCGUAAAACUCUGUCCUUGGUGAAGAUAAUGACGGUAACCAAGGAGGAAGCCCCGGCUAACUACGUGCCAGCAGCCGCGGUAAUACGUAGGGGGCUAGCGUUGUCCGGAUUUACUGGGCGUAAAGGGUGAGUAGGCGGUUAUGUAUGUCAGAUGUAAAAGGCGCGGGCUUAACUUGCGUUAGCAUUUGAAACUGCAUAACUUGAGUGCAGGAGAGGUAAGCGGAAUUCCUAGUGUAGCGGUGAAAUGCGUAGAUAUUAGGAGGAACACCGGUGGCGAAGGCGGCUUACUGGACUGUAACUGACGCUGAGUCACGAAAGCGUGGGUAGCAAACAGGAUUAGAUACCCCGGUAGUC
Molecule: ribosomal RNA, 439 nt
Filed under: uncultured Sedimentibacter sp.
Lineage: Bacteria; Bacillati; Bacillota; Tissierellia
Description: bacterial SSU rRNA
Rfam family: Bacterial small subunit ribosomal RNA
Source: RNAcentral